RNAcentral lists this ribosomal RNA (429 nucleotides) under Chloroflexota bacterium. RNAcentral's name for it is "Chloroflexi bacterium partial 16S ribosomal RNA". It matches the Rfam family "Bacterial small subunit ribosomal RNA", at positions 355 to 776 of the family's 1533-position model. Lineage: Bacteria; Bacillati; Chloroflexota. The record is from RNAcentral.
UGGGGAAUAUUGCACAAUGGGCGCAAGCCUGAUGCAGCCAUGCCGCGUGUGUGAAGAAGGCCUUCGGGUUGUAAAGCACUUUCAGCGGGGAGGAAGGCGGUGAGGUUAAUAACCUCCUCGAUUGACGUUACCCGCAGAAGAAGCACCGGCUAACUCCGUGCCAGCAGCCGCGGUAAUACGGAGGGUGCAAGCGUUAAUCGGAAUUACUUGGCGUAAAGCGCACGCAGGCGGUCUGUCAAGUCGAAUGUGAAAUCCCCGGGCUCAACCUGGGAACUGCAUUCGAAAAUGACAGACUAGAGUCUUGUAGAGAGGGGUAGAAUCCCAGGUGUAGCGGUGAAAUGCGUAGAGAUAUGGAGGAAUACCGUAGGCGAAAGCGGCCCCAUGGACAAAGACUGACGCUCAGGUUCGAAAGCGUGGGGAGCAAACAGG